RNAcentral lists this unclassified non-coding RNA (389 nucleotides) under Hevea brasiliensis (rubber tree). The record is from RNAcentral. Lineage: Eukaryota; Viridiplantae; Streptophyta; Magnoliopsida; Malpighiales; Euphorbiaceae.
UCCUUCUAAUUCUUCUUCUUCUCUAAAAUUCCUUCCUUCUUUCCCUCUACUCUUCUUCUUCUUCUUCUAUUGUGCUGGUGUGUGUGCCAUAGUCUCCUUGCCUUGCCGCCCCUAUUCCUGUUUGAUCAUUAUGUUCGUCCUCGUCCUCAACCUCAUUGGCGUUGCUCGUCUCAUCCCUGUCUCUCGUCUAGUCAUCCUUGUUGCUCAUCUCACUUUAGCUUUCAGCACUGGGCUCUGGCUUCCUGCUCAUUUAGUCGUCUCUGGGUCUCUGCCACGCUUUGCGACAGUCGUCAGAUCCUCUCUGGCGUCUUGUUGGGUUUUGAAAAUUUUGCUGCCUAUAUUUACUUUUGUGCAGAGGACUAUUUGUUAGGUUUUUGCUGUUUAUUUUG